GACGAACGCUGGCGGCGUGCUUAACACAUGCAAGUCGAACGGAAAGGCCCUGCUUGCAGGGUCCUCGAGUGGCGAACGGGUGAGUAACACGUGGGUGAUCUGCCCUGCACUUCGGGAUAAGCCUGGGAAACUGGGUAUAAUACCGGAUAGGAGCCAUUUUUCGUGUGAUGGUUGGAAAGUUUUUUCGGUGUAGGAUGAGCUCGCGGCCUAUCAGCUUGUUGGUGGGGUAAUGGCCUACCAAGGCGGCGACGGGUAGCCGGCCUGAGAGGGUGGACGGCCACAUUGGGACUGAGAUGCGGCACAGACUACUACGGGAGGCAGCAGUGGGGAAUAUUGUACAAUGGGAGGAAGCCUGAUGCAGCGACGCCGCGUGGGGGAUGACGGCCUGCGGGUUGUAAACUCCUUUCGCUAGGGACGAAGCUUUUGUGACGGUACCUAGAUAAGAAGCACCGGCUAACUACGUG
This 464-nucleotide ribosomal RNA is filed under the name uncultured bacterium. Its description in RNAcentral is "partial 16S ribosomal RNA". It matches the Rfam family "Bacterial small subunit ribosomal RNA", at positions 28 to 507 of the family's 1533-position model. The record is from RNAcentral.